CAAGCCCAUACAUUCUGCAGUGAGCAAUCUAAUUAUGUAAUCACGUCCAUGAUAAGUAUCUGUUCCUCUUCUUAAGUAUCUGUUCCUGGACACUCCUUGGAAAAGGAAGUCUUGAAAAUCUUUCGAUCAACAGGCUCAUGAUCUCAAGCUUUGUUUAACCGGAGAAAAGGAACCUGAACAACAUUUGGAUAGAUAAUAAUAAUGUUUAACUGAGUCCGUGUGAACUGAAAGGGCAUCUAUGCAAUAACUAGUGGAGUUUUAUUCUACGGACCCUACCCAGUGUGUGGACAAUGCAGUGGCCUAUUCAUAUGGAGUAGUUUAUGAAACUGACACCUACCAUUACUCACGAGAUGCACUGUGUGAGGAUGACCCAUUUGGUUUCAAUGGGGUGGUGGUUACAGAAGAAGUGUCUUUUCCAAUACGGAGAUGUACUCCAUUUCUAAGCCAUAACAGGCCAAACAACCCUGCAGAAGCAGACAGAGGUCUGUCUGGAAAUAAUGGAGAAAUGUUAGAUCUGGUGGCAGUAAAUGAACAAUCUUUUCCAAACUUCACUCCAAGACGAUCUGACCAUGUGCAUCUAACUCAUAUAUAUCCUAGUGUGAACAACUACCUCACUCAAGAAAUAGUGGAUCUGGUGGCAGUAGAAGAACAAUUCUUUCCAAACUUCACUCCAAGACGUUCUCACCAUGUGCAUCUACCUCAUAUACAUCCUACUGUGAACAACUAUCUCACUCAAGGUCAAGGGCAUGGCUCACUACAACAAGAUAUGGAGCCCUCAGGACUGAUCGAGCGUUGGUAUGAAGAAUCGAACACGGUGGACGAUGACAAACAGGAUCGGGAGGAAUACUGAGCUAAAGUGGCAUGAUGUUGUCUGAGCAUCAGCAUAAAGUAACAUCACAGACAGCAAAAUUAUGUUAAUCAGCAAAGGGGGUCAAUAAGUUAAACAUUUGACCUUAGCAAACACAUACUGUAACCUUCCCGUUUGCUUUGCUUCCAGCUCCUGUGUUGUUUGUAACAUUCCUGUAAAUAAUUAUUAACAGUUAAUAAAGAACAAAAAUUGGAAUGUUUUGUCCCUCUGGUUCCUAGGAAUAGCUGUCAGUAGAUCUGUAAAGUAAUUUGAUCAUUUUACUCACCACCCCUAAUAACUCUUGCCAAACAUGUUUAUUCAUUAGUAAACAGUUAACAGCAUAUACAGUUGAAGUUUACAUACACUUGAGACAAAUACAUUUAAACUCAGUUUUUCACAAUUCCUGACAUUUAGUCCUAGUAAAAAUACCAUGUCUCAGGUCAGUUAGGAUCACUACUUUAUUUUAAGAAUGUGAAAUGUCAGAAUAAUAGAGAUUUAUUUCAGCUUUUAUUUCUUUCAUCACAUUCCCAGUGGGUCAGAAGUUUACAUACAUUCAAUUAGUAUUUGCCUUUAAAUUGUUUAACUUGCGUCAAAUGUUUUGGGUAGCCUUCCACAAGCUUCCCACAAUAAGUUAGGUGAAUUUUGGCCCAUUCCUCCUGACAGAGCUGGUGUAACUGAGUCAGGUUUGUAGGCCUCCUUGCUCGCACACACUAUCAGUUCUGCCCACAAAUUUUCUAUGGGAUUGAGGUCAGGGCUUUGUGAUGGCCACUCCAAUACCUUGACUUUGUUGUCCUUAAGCCAUUUUGCCACAACUUUUGAAGUAUGCUAUGGGUCAGUGCUUCUUCCUUGCUAAGCAGCCUUUCAGGUUAUGUCGAUUAUAGGACUCGUUUUACUGUGGACAUAGAUACUUUUGUACCGGUUUCCUCCAGCAUCUUCACAAGGUCCUUUGCUGUUGUUCUGGGAUUGAUUUGCACUUUUCACACAAGUAUAUUCAUAUCUAGGAGACAGAACGCGUCUCCUUCCUGAGCGGUAUGACGGCUGCGUUGUCCCAUGGUGUUUAUACUUGCGUACUAUUGUUUGUACAGAUGAACGUGGUACCUUCAGGCGCUUGGAAAUUGAUCCCAAGGAUGAACCAGACUUAUGGAGGUCUACAAUUUUUUUCUGAGGUCUUGGCUGAUUUCUUUUGAUUUUCCCAUGAUGUCAAGCAAGUUGGAAGUUGGAAGGUAGGCCUUGAACUACAUCCACAGGUACACCUCCAAUUGACUCUAAUUAUGUCAAUUAGCCUAUCAGAAGCAUCGAAAGCCAUGACACCAUUUUCUGGAAUUUUCCAAGCUGUUUAAAGGCACAGUCAACUUGGUGUAUGUAAACUUCUGACCCACUGAAAUUGUGAUACAGUGAAUUAUAAGUGAAAUAGUCUGUCUGUAAACAAUUGUUGGAAAAAUGAUUGUGCACAAAGUAGAUGACCGACUUGCUAAAACUAUAGUUUGUUAACAAGAAAUUUGGAGUGGUUGAAAAACAAGUUUUAAUGACUCCAAUCUAAGUGUAUGUAAACUUCCAACUUCAACUGUAGCUAUUCUGGGUACCAGUCUGUUUAGCUAUCAUUCCACUCUUUGCAACUAACAUACAGCAUAUGACACUGAAUACAAGGAGUAGAAUGUUAGCUAAACAGAUUGGUACCUAGGCUAGCAUACUGCAUUAUACGUCAGACGAUUGUGAAAUAGCAGACUCGGGCAUAAUGCAAUGUCAGUGUGGGUCUAGAGUACAACUUCAAGGGAAAGGAGGGGAGCCUCUCACGCUAAACCUGGGUCUUUAUUUAGCUUUUGAGUGAGUUUGAGCGUGAGCAUGUUCGUUAGACCACCACUGUGCUGUGCCAUUUUCUCAUUUGACUUCAAGAGUGGCGAGAACAAGAAUGGUCACAUAAGGCUUGACAAGUAGUUCCUGCCAAGGUUGGAGUUGGAGUUAGUUAUGUAUGUUAACUUAAUAUGAAUAGUUUCCCAUGGCUUCUUAUUGACAUUAUAACAAAUACGUGGAGUCUUACCAAUCAAGUCAAAUGAAACAAUUAAUGAUGAUCAGCAAAAUGUUAGUGGAUCCACAGUUCUCCUCUGCUCCCACAAUCAUAGUCUAUACAACCCAGUUUAUGUUAAAUAAAAAAGUAAGCCUAAAACCCGUUUGUUUCUCAAUAAUGCUGACCAUAGUGGUUUACUUCUGAACAAGUUUAAUUUCCUCUUGUAAAAUAACUAGCUACAGAUUUAACUCAAUCAUUACACGAAUGGGAACUAAGCAGCAUCGCACAGAGCACAGUCUAUAUUAUAAAACCAGAACAUAUUUUUGGUAAGAGUUAAUUAGUGCAGUAUUACCUAUGUAGGCCUUUGAACAUGCCUUCUGGGUUUUUAUUUAUCGAUCUUUGAAGGAGGACACUAAAACAGGUUUUAGUUGGAAGAAUACUUUUUCAACAGCUCCCUGACAGCAUAUUAAGCCUUUAUUUGACUUUGGAAUUGGACAAUGAACAACACUUGGCACAGUAAGUAACUUAUACAAGGAUUCAUGUCAAUGAGACUAAGUUUUCAGACGGGAACAACCCCACGGUAAGGAAACGGAUGUAUUGCAUGGUUUCAAUCAGUUUCAAUCGGUUUCAUCUGAAAUAUUCAAAAUACUGAAAUGUCUUCAAAAAAUACACAGUUUAUUCUUUAGUUACUAAAAACUAAUACAAAGAGUUAAGAUUAAGUAAAUGAGGCACAGUUGCACCAAACGUACAGUCACAGUACUUACGUAGGUUAGUGGGCGGAACCUUUCUUCAUCCACAACGACUGCAAACAUGGCGCUAAAACAUUUUGAUGCCGAAAAGGUAGUGUUUCGUGUUUAAAACUCUUUUUUUUCUCUCUAUACAUAUGGAAAUGAAGAAUGUUGAUCUACAUUAAACAUAGACUAUGUGCAUACAUGUGUGUAGAUUUUUGGCAAGAUAGAGGUCAACAACAUAUUGUGUGUGCUAUGCUACUCAACAAGUGCAAUAUAAUUACAUAACUGUAUAUCAUUUUUGCUAUAAUUUCACAAGAUAUUUGGUAAUUUAGCACAAUAGUGUAGACGGAAGUUUUGACCAAAUUUUAGACUAUAGGGAUCAUUCAUCCCUCGGGGCAUGGCACAGGAAACAGCCUCGGAGACGACAGUCAAAGUCCGUUUUGGCGAGGGUAGCACAUGCAGACCUACUACAAUAUCCAUUGAGUUCCAAAUGAGUAAACUACAACAAUUUAACUAUAUGAUAAAGAAAAUGAACUUCUUCACUUUAUUAUGUUUCAUUCAGUACAGUGGUUAUUAAAGUUAUGAAUGCAUUUUGUGAUGUUGCAGACCCAGAGUGAGGCUCAGAAUGAGGAGAAUCCAGGCGUCAGCCCCUCUGAGGUUGAGAAUUGUGAUGAACGGCAUCCUCACCAACCUUUAACGAUCUCACAACAAUGUGAAGAAAACCCAUUGGCUUUCAAUAUAGAAGUGUAUUUUGAAAAUCUGCACUUUCCUCGGAGGAGGUGUACUCCAUUUAACAUCCCAGCCAUAAUUCAGAACAACCAUAUGGAGUCAACCAUGCUUGAAAACAGCAACUGGGGUGGCUGCUGUGAAUAUACCUCCUCAUCUACGCUUCAUCGCAAUAGAACCAUCUCCAGACUGUGUCCAGGCAGCUCGACCUCAUAACGAAGGCUCUUCCUCACAGCUUUCACCUCAACACCAGCUAUGUUGAUGAUGGUAGGGUUUCACUAUAGUUGAAGGUAUGGUUGCACAAAAGCACAACCAUACCUUCAAUCAAGCAAGGUGUCUAGUUAUAGCUUAAACAGCAUGGAGGCACCCAGAGCAGCAACAUUAAUGAACACAAGAAUCACCAAAUGUGUAUUCACAGCUACCGCUACAUGAAAUGAUACCACGCAGAAAGCACACCAUCAUGUUACGACUGACCUAUCAUAGAUCUAAAAUUGAGAUAAAACUGUGGUGGUGUUUAAUAUGUGCAUGGAGUCACUCUCAGUUAGACAUAAGCAGCUGUCAUGUCAUGAGGGCUUCUACCCCGUUCUGUCCUGUUGCUUCAGCAGUCAAAACACAUCAGGGAUAAAGAGCUCCAUUAUCCCUGGAAGAAGAGAUGAAGUGAAGGAAAAGGCUGCUUUUUACAGCAUUUUCUGCUAAAAAUAUGUAUAAAACCGUCACACACUUAUCUGUUUCAUCUGUCUUUGUGAUUGUCUCCACCCCCUCCAGGUGUUGCCCAUCAGGUGUUGCCCAUCUUCCCCAUCAUCCCCCUGUGUAUUUAUACCUGUGUUCUGUCUGUCUGUUGCCAGUUCGUCUUGUUUGUCAAGCCUUCCAGCAUUUUUCGUCUCAUCUACUGCUUCUCCCCAGUCUCUCUUUUUCUCACCCUCCUGAUUUUGACCCUUGCCUGUCCCAUCUCCGAGCCCACCUGCCUGAUCACUCUGCCUGCCCCCGACCCUGAGCCUGCCUGCCGUCCUGUACCUUUGCCCCACCUCUGGAUUACCGACCUCUGCCUGACCUGACCCUGAGCCUGCCUGCCGUCCUGUACCUUUGCCCCACCUCUGGAUUACCAACCUCUGCCUGACCUGACCCUGAGCCUGCCUGCCGUCCUGUACCUUUCCUCCACUACUCUGGUUAUUGACGCCUGCCUGCCUUGACCUGUCGUUUGCCUGCCCUGUGGCCGUAAUAAACAUUGUUACUUCGACCGUCUGUAUCUGGGUCUUACCUUGGUUCCUGAUAAAAACACCAAGAGUGCUUUGGUGGUGGGUCAUUCCUACGUUGCGGUGCCUUUUGGACCACAUACAUUUUGUGAAAAAAAGUAUAUAUUUUUCAUUUGUUUUGAAUUCAAUCAGAAAAAAGACAUGUUUGACUUUCAGAAAAAGCUCAGGCACUUAAAUCCUAAUAAAUAUGGGCAUGUUGUUCACACAUGGACCAUGGAAUAUUUCCACCUGUUAGGGACAAACACAUAACUGUCUGAAAGUGCUAUCAAUGCAUGUAUAUACAUAGAUUUAGAUGUUCUAAGACAUCAAAUGUGCCUUACUCUAUUACUUUAAUUUACUUACUACUAUACUUUUUUAUUUUUUAUUUAACUAGGCAAGUUAUUUAACUAGCAACUAAAUCAAUGAUUAUUGAAAGAAACAUGUGUUAUUUUCAGAACCAAAGCUUCAUUUGUGCCACAUUCUUCCUAAUAAGAGUGAAAAACAACAGAAUUUGGUCAACAUUUUUACAUUUGUAAUUGAUCCCAUCUAUCUCUACAAGUUACCACAAAGAUAUACAUAACAGUUGAUGGAAUUGUUCAAUUAUGAUUUUUAAAACACUGACCUAACAGGGUGGAAAGCAAUAACAGGGUGGAACAAACACCAGUAAUGAGCAAAAUAUUUAAACAAUUAAA
Long non-coding RNA from Oncorhynchus kisutch (coho salmon), 6233 nucleotides. RefSeq lists it as uncharacterized. The record is from RefSeq and is a predicted model, not a curated record. The transcript has 10 exons. NCBI's taxonomy places the organism in Eukaryota, Metazoa, Chordata, Actinopteri, Salmoniformes, Salmonidae.